AUUGAACGCUGGCGGCAGGCCUAACACAUGCAAGUCGAACGGUAACAGGAAGAAGCUUGCUUCUUUGCUGACGAGUGGCGGACGGGUGAGUAAUGUCUGGGAAACUGCCUGAUGGAGGGGGAUAACUACUGGAAACGGUAGCUAAUACCGCAUAACGUCGCAAGACCAAAGAGGGGGACCUUCUGGCCUCUUGCCAUCGGAUGUGCCCAGAUGGGAUUAGCUAGUUGGUGGGGUAACGGCUCACCUAGGCGACGAUCCCUAGCUGGUCUGAGAGGAUGACCAGCCACACUGGAACUGAGACACGGUCCAGACUCCUACGGGAGGCAGCAGUGGGGAAUAUUGGACAAUGGGCGCAAGCCUGAUGCAGCCAUGCCGCGUGUAUGAAGAAGGCCUUCGGGUUGUAAAGUACUUUUAGCGGGGAGGAAGGGAGUAAAGUUAAUACCUUGGCUCAUUGACGUUACCCGCAGAAGAAGCACCGGCUAACUCCGUG
This 490-nucleotide ribosomal RNA is filed under the name uncultured bacterium. Its description in RNAcentral is "partial 16S ribosomal RNA". It matches the Rfam family "Bacterial small subunit ribosomal RNA", at positions 30 to 507 of the family's 1533-position model. The record is from RNAcentral.